AGCUCCAAUAGCGUAUAUUAAAGUUGUUGCGGUUAAAAAGCUCGUAGUUGGAUCUCGGCAGCCAGGGGGCGGUUCGCUCCAAAGCGUGACUGCCCCAUUUGGCUGUGUGAUUGGCGGAGGUUCCGGGGUGCUCUUCGUUGAGUGUCCCGGUGCGCCGUCAGGUUUACUUUGAAAAAAUUAGAGUGCUCAAAGCAGGCUUUUCAGGCUUGAAUAUUCGUGCAUGGAAUAAUGGAAUAGGAACUCGUUCCUAUUUUGUUGGUUUUCGGGAAUCGAGUUAAUGAUUAAUAGGGACAAUUGGGGGCAUUAGUAUUCAAACGACAGAGGUGAAAUUCUUGGAUUCGGUCAAGACUAACUUAUGCGAAAGCAUUCACCAAGGAUGUCUUCU
Molecule: ribosomal RNA, 385 nt
Filed under: marine copepod environmental sample
Lineage: Eukaryota; Metazoa; Arthropoda; Copepoda
Description: SSU rRNA
Rfam family: Eukaryotic small subunit ribosomal RNA
Source: RNAcentral